This 3238-nucleotide long non-coding RNA is filed under the name Homo sapiens (human). RNAcentral describes it as "HSALNT0384381". The record is from RNAcentral. Lineage: Eukaryota; Metazoa; Chordata; Mammalia; Primates; Hominidae.
GGGAGAGGGAGUGUUAGAUGUUUUCUCUGUUGGAGUGCCUUCAUUUACAAAGCAUAUUUUUCAAGUCUUUUGCUAAGAGUAAUGCCAUGGAGCAGCCUCCCAUCAUUCUUGUUAAUAGGACUGUCUGUGUGUUACAGUAAACAGCUAUAACUCUUCUGUUGGAGCCGUUGUGCAGCAGGCAGAGUUUGUUCAGUAUCCAAUUAAGGGUGUCUCCAAUUUGCCAGCCAGGAUCAUGAGAGCUGUGACUCAGCCAUCAGGCAACCUGGGCAUUGUGGAGGCUUCUCAAAGUAGAGAGGGCUGAUGCCCUUCCUCCUCCGCAGCAAGGGGACUGGAGCCUGGCUCUAGACGAUCUCUGUUUUGUUUUGUUUUGUUUUGUUUUGUUUUGUUUUGUUUUGUUUUUACAUGGAGUUUCGCUCUUGUUGCCCAGGCUGGAGCAUAGUGGUGCGAUCUUGGCUCACGGCAACCUCUGCCUCACGGGUUCAAGUGAUUUUCCUGCCUCAGCCUCCCAAGUAGCUGGGAUUACAAGAGUGUGCCACCACGCCUAGCUAAUCUUGCAUUUUCAGUGGAGACAGGGUUUCAACAUGUUGGUCAGGCUGGUCUCAAACUCCUGACCUCAAGUGAUUCAGCCGCCUCGCCUCCCAAAGUGCUGGGAUUACAGGUGUGAGGCACCACAUCCGACCUCUGCUCUUCCUCAAAGGCCACCAAAUCAUGCCAGCUAACUGUGCAAAGAUGUUAGCCUGAUAGUCAAAGCUCUUCCCAGACUCUUAUAAACAUAGAAGAACAUAGCGGUUAAGAACAUGAGCUCUGCAGCAGGAUUACACGGAUUCCAAUCUCAGCUCAGCCACAUACUAGCUGUGUGAUGUUGGAUGAGAACAUUGAGGCCUAGGGCAUUUCAAUAGCUUGCCAAAGGGCUCAUCAUUCUCGGGUAACAGGAUGAGGCCAGACACCAAGGAUCCCUGGAUCCAUGCCCUACUCUCCACACUUGUCUUGGGUCUAUGAAGCCCCCAGUCCCAAGAUGCUGAGAACCUGAGAUAUCACUCAUCUCAUCUUCCUGAAUUUUAUGAACUAAGAAGCGAAAGCUCACCCAAAGCCAUUUAUAGAGUCUAUGGAAAAAGAAGGACUAGACCCUGGAUUCCGUGAUUUACAGGUUUUUCUUCUCCUAAUUUUCAAUCCACUCCAAAACAUGCAGAGAGAUGACCUUAGCAAAGAUGUUUAUUAGUAGAUAUAAAGGGUGGCUGGUGCCAUUCUUCCAAAAGGAAAGCUGUCAUCUUUACUCACUCAGUCCUCAGCAAACUAUCUGAGCACUAUUUUUGUGCCUCAUCUGGGAGCUGGGGAGUCAGUGAUGGGCAAGAUAUGGUCUUUACUUGCAAAAUUCCCAUAGCACAUUGGAGAAGAAAAAACAGCAAUCAGGUAUGUGCGCUACAGGGGGGUGCAUGCUGCAACCACCAGCAUCAACAACAACAUGCAUUGAAUGCUUCAUGUAUAUCAAGUGCUCUCUCUCCUAAGAGAUAUGAAUGCAUUAACCCCAUUUACUCCUCAAGACUAGAAACAAACACUUUAUAAUUUGCUACGGACUGAAAAUUUGUGUCCCCCUAAAAUGUAUAUGUGGAAGUCUUAAUCCCCAAUGUGAUGAUAUUUGGAGGCGGGGCCUUGGGACAUAAUUGGGGUAGGGUGAGGUCAUGAGGGUGAAAACCCCAUACUGGGAUUGGUGCCCUUAGAAAGGUAUAAAGGGACUGGAGCAUGCAGUUUCUCUCUCUCUCUCUCUCUGUUUCUCUCUCUCUCUCUCUCCCUCCGCCGUAUGAGCACGCAGCAAGAAAGCGGCUGUGUGGCAACCAGGAAGACAGCCUUUAUCAGAAUCCAGCCAUAUUGGUGCCCUGAUCUCAGACUUUCCAGCCUCCAGAACUGUAAGAAAUAGAUGUUCACUGUUUAAGUGCCCCAGUCUAUGGUAUUCUAUGAUAGCAGCCCAAACUGACUAAGACAUCAUUUCUUUUAUCAGAUGAGGAAACCAAUACAUAGAAAGACUUUUAAAUUUUCCCUAAACAAUGGAAGUACAUGCUAAGUGCAAUAGGGGUAUGUAGAAAAGAGUGUUCAGAUUUUAGGGAGAUUUCCAGAAAAGGCCUCUUCAUGCUGGAGAUGGCUUUUUUUAAAUAAUGGAAGGGAGUUCCCAAGGCAAUGGUUGAGCAGUGGAGUGGGAGCCCAGGUAAGAGUAUGCAGGUGGUAGAAACAAAAUAUUCUAAGACAGACGGGCACAAAACAGCAUGGCUUAUUUGGGGAACUACAAGUACCUCUAUGUUGCUGAUGCCUGAUGUUCUAGAGGACACAUUUCAAGGCAGGAACAAGCUGAGGGCAUAUCUCAACCUCCCCUUCCUCAGGGGCACUCAUCCUUCAUCCCUUUAGCAGUUUUACUCAGCAUUUGUUCUAGGAUGCCAGGCUGUGAGGUAAGACAGGUAAGUGAGACUCAGCCUCUACCCUCAGAGUUCACAAUCUAAUGGGAAAACUAAAUUAUCAUAAAGAUAGCAUUACAAAUGCAGUGCUUGACAUAUGCCUGGAGCACUAUGAGACUGUAGGUGAGAAGCAACGAAAAGAGGACAAUCCGGAGAAGGUAGCAGCUGUGCUGUCUCUUAAAGUCUGACCAGGUAGUCCAGGUGUUCCCUGUGUUUGAGGUCAAGGGGCAGCAGGAGAAGAUGCAACAGAAAAGCACACAGCACGAGCAAAGCCACAUAGCUGAAAAACAGCUAUCACCUGCAACAGCUUCUGCUGCUACAAUACCUGUACUCCUCUUAGAUUUUAUUCCAGUAUCAGCCAACAACGUGAUCUGACAGGACAGUCCCAGCCCUAGGAAAUGAACUAUGAUUCGUGCAGACCGAUCGAAGUCAUACCAUACAGCGAUGGAUUUGGGCAUGUGGGCCAGUUGGGAUCAAGGGAAAGGAAGCAUUUCCAUUUUGAUCAAUGGGGGGAUUCUGGGAAAGUCUUCUGCCCGUAAAAAGAAACAAGCCAGGAAAAACGUCCCCUUCCUCCCUGUAGACAUGGCUAUGAACGGCAGGAUGCCUGAAACUGUCCAGGCUUGUUAUGAUGGAGAGACACACUGCACAGGGUGGGGGAAAGGGGAAAUAUACCCUAAGAAUGGUAGACCAGAAAGAUGUAAAGCAUCUGUAUCCUUGUUGAAAUUAUAGUGCCUCCCAAUUAACAUACCUAGAACUGUUUACCUCUGGACAUUUCAUUAUGUGAGAUAUUAAAG